RNAcentral lists this long non-coding RNA (1444 nucleotides) under Androctonus crassicauda. Lineage: Eukaryota; Metazoa; Arthropoda; Arachnida; Scorpiones; Buthidae. The record is from RNAcentral.
AUAAGUUGUGUGGUAAACAGUUGCUUACCAUCUUGGAGGAUCCCAAUGCAUUUUCAAAUUUUACACUUUGUUUUUCAGGAGGGGUUCAGGUUUGAUGACUAAAGCUUACUUUAUGUAAAUUGGGGGUUAUUUAUAUUUUGAAGGUGUCAUUUUCUUUACAGUAUUUCUUGGUCUCAGAUGCAUAACUACACAUAAACUAGUCUUCAGAUUUUUAGAUGAACCAUGCUGCUUUAUUUAAGACAGAAAUGAACAGAGAUCCCUUGUACUCUCACUCUUCAAAGUGUCUUCUGAGUAUGCAAGGGUUUUCAAAGACAUGACUGAGGAAAAGUUUUAAGCUUUGUAUGUUACUGAUGACUUGCUACCAAACAGAAUGACCUGAUUCCAAGGCAUUAUAAAUGUGCAACUAGACAUGAAGUACUUUUCAUGCUUUGUAUCCAGGUAUGGUUUUCUCUAUUGAGAUAUAUGUUCUAGACAGCAAUGUAAGGCAGAAAAGUUCUCUCAUCAAUGUUAAAAAUUUCCUCUGUUGAGUAUGGCCAUUCACCAAUUAUUUUAUUCAGUCACUCGAGGAUAUUGAUUUGUAACUUCUGCAUUUCCACUAGUAGUCUCCCCUGAAAACUUUCACAUUGUGAAAUCCUACAUGAUUCUCAAUUUUGAGAAGCAACUUUGCUUGCCUCGAAGUUUUAGGUGCCCAUACUAUCAAACUUACUGCUCUUAUACGAAAGCACAAAAUUGUACAGUCAAAAGCACUACUGAGCAGAUGUCAAUUACAAAUGCAUUCUUUAUUGCUAACGUUUUUGUUGCAUUAAGCACUGAAAACGGAACCUUUAGGCUACAUAGCAGGUCUAUACAAAACUAUCUAAUAUUGUUUUUAAAAAUGUUUUUAGAAUAAUUAAAUUCCAAAAUCGUUAUAUUGCCAUAGAAGCAAUAGAAACAAAAGAAUAAAUAAACUUAACUAGGUACAAAACAAAUAUAGUAUCCCAACAAUUGUAUAUUUACAAGUUAAAAUUAAAUAAGUAAAAGUAUACAUAAUAUCAUAGGUCUCAGAGGAUCUAAAAACAUAAGAUUAAAAUUAAGAAUUAAAAUUACUAUUAAAACUCAACACUAAAAAUUAGUCUUAAUAAUUGAAAAUUCUGAAACGCUACUAGGGUAAUAUAACAUGCACUCCAGAAUAAAGAUCGGUAUGUCAAGCCAUCUUAUUUAAAAGAUACUUCCAUGAAGCUGGUAACUCUUGUGCUGGAUGACUAUUCAAGAGGUUUUUCUUUCAUGCUAUCAGUAUAAAGAAAGAAGACUUUGUCGAAGGCAGUUUACGUACAGCUUUAGCAGUGUCAGUGUAUGAGAAAGACAUACAAGUUAAUUGGCAUGAGGCUAAAAUAGUAAAACCAUUGGAAUAAGAAAAACAUGCAUUCUUAGCUGAGGCAAUAGAAAUUUAUACUGAUAGCACGAA